RNAcentral lists this ribosomal RNA (305 nucleotides) under uncultured bacterium. Its description in RNAcentral is "bacterial SSU rRNA". It matches the Rfam family "Bacterial small subunit ribosomal RNA", at positions 333 to 635 of the family's 1533-position model. The record is from RNAcentral.
GGAUGCCUACGGGACGCAGCAGUGAGGAAUAUUGGUCAAUGGCCGGAAGGCUGAACCAGCCAUGCCGCGUGAAGGUCAGUGCCCUAUGGGCGUUAAACUUCUUUUGUGCGGGAGCAAUAAUGGUCACGUGAGGCCAGACGAGAGUACCGUACGAAUAAGCAUCGGCUAACUCCGUGCCAGCAGCCGCGGUAAUACGGGGGAUGCAGGCGUUAUCCGGAUUAAUUGGGUUUAAAGGGGGCGUAGGCUGUGAGGUAAGUCAGCGGUGAAAUGCCCCCGCUCAACGGGGUGAGGGGCCAGUGAUACUG